RNAcentral lists this non-coding RNA (45 nucleotides) under unclassified sequences. RNAcentral's name for it is "SAM-SAH-Weickhmann-2018 RNA". It matches the Rfam family "SAM/SAH riboswitch aptamer". The record is from RNAcentral.
CUGUCGCAACGGCUUCCUGGCGCGUCGGGCUUAUCUAAUGGAGCG